GGAUUCCAAGGCUCCACAAGUUGUCAAGAAUAACUUUAGACUUUGCUGGGAAUGCAAUAUCUUCUGACAAGGAGGAGUUGGCUGGAACAGCCUGGGCUCUGUACCUGUCCCUCAGAUGUCCUUUGGUGCUUUAGCCCAGUGACUCAUCGAUCUCCCAGGUAUAAAACCCAGGGUGGGCUUCUUUCUGGGGUCCUUCGGCUGCAGUACAAGUGGGGCAUGCACAGAUGAGACUCCAUCUACCCUGGGAAGCUCUCCUGAGCCUUGGGGGACUGGCUUGUCAUGAAUCCUUGGCUUUAGUUGUCCCUUGUUGUGUAUUUCUAAUGAAUAAACCUGUUGCAUAUAACUUGUGUGUAUGAGUGUUCUGUCUCAUCUGACUCAGGACAGUAGUAAAAAUGCAAUGUAAGAUGCAGUGAGCUCAAGUGGUACCAGUGUACUGUGAAUGCACUUUGUGCUGCCAUGCUGGGGUUCAGAGCAGGCAUCCAUGUCUAGAGCUACAUAUGGAGACCAAACAGAAAAUAGAGGUAAAAGCCCUGUUGUAGGGACAGGGCCAACAUGGCGGG
Molecule: long non-coding RNA, 560 nt
Filed under: Homo sapiens (human)
Lineage: Eukaryota; Metazoa; Chordata; Mammalia; Primates; Hominidae
Description: HSALNT0386608
Source: RNAcentral